This 418-nucleotide ribosomal RNA is filed under the name uncultured bacterium. Its description in RNAcentral is "bacterial SSU rRNA". It matches the Rfam family "Bacterial small subunit ribosomal RNA", at positions 358 to 773 of the family's 1533-position model. The record is from RNAcentral.
GGAAUAUUGGUCAAUGGACGCAAGUCUGAACCAGCCAUGCCGCGUGGAGGAUGAAGGUCCUCUGGAUUGUAAACUUCUUUUAUCGGCGAAGAAACCCAGACAUUCUUGUUUGGUUGACGGUACCCGAUGAAUAAGCACCGGCUAACUCCGUGCCAGCAGCCGCGGUAAUCCGGAGGGUGCAAGGGUUAUCCGGCUUCACUGGUUUUAAUGGGUGCGGAGGUGGGUUGGUAAGUCAGUGGUGAGAUCUCCGGGCUUAACUCGGAAACUGCCGUUGAUACUAUCAAUCUUGAAUGUUGUGGAGGUAAGCGGAAUAUGUCAUGUAGCGGUGAAAUGCUUAGAUAUGACAUAGAACACCGAUAGCGAAGGCAGCUUGCUACACAAUAAUUGACACUGAGGCACGAAAGCGUGGGGAUCAAAC